Molecule: long non-coding RNA, 1923 nt
Organism: Aedes albopictus (Asian tiger mosquito)
Lineage: Eukaryota; Metazoa; Arthropoda; Insecta; Diptera; Culicidae
Exons: 2
Source: RefSeq, a predicted model, not a curated record
CUUCUACUGUGGAUGGCAGCUAGAUGUAAAUAAACCAGCAUUGAAAAUAAUAAUCCUUAAUAAAUAAAAUAAAGCUCAAAGCAAAAAGGCCCGACGUUUAGCAAGUUGUGAAAGAUAAUAAUGGUUCAUUCGUGAAAUUAGUCCCAUUACAGUUUCUGCCAGAAUUCCCGGUUUGUAGCAUUUUCAGGGUUGUUACAACAGCGCGGAUUUCGCGAAUUUCGCGGAUUUCGCGAUUUUCGCGGAUUUGGCGCGGAUUUACCCAUGGAAUUUGGCCCUCGCGCGGAUUUAGCGCGGAAUUGAUUUUUGUAGUGUGUAUAGCUAUAUAAUUGAAAGAUUAUCGACACUUGAUAAUAAAAUUAUGAAAUGUGUUUGUUUAAAUUGCCAGGAUUGGAUAUAGUAGUAGGUAGGCGAUAUAUUUCAAAAAUAUGUUGAACUAGCUGUCUCCGACAAACUUUGCGUUUUUAACGUUUCAAGUCCAAGUCACAAAGCCGAAGAAUCGGACGUUUCGCUCACGAGUUAUGCGUGGUCCUACGUAUGUCAUUGCAUUUAUAUAUACAGUGUCUUACAACACAAUACGACCACCUGUCAUUUUUUAUACAAAAUGGCCAAGUUUGAUGAUAUGGUACUCGGUUUUUAGUGAGCCGAUAUGGCUGAAAUUUUGGCAACCGACAUGAAUUCACGGGAAAUUUGAAUUGUAUUGAAUUGAUUGAGUUCUGUUCACUACUUCCAAAGUUACAGAUAUACGAAACGACAAAACAAUAGGACCACUUUCAGGUUGCCUUUACCAAAGGAUAUAUCAGAGUAUCUGAUGUUCGGUGAUUGACAUACUACCGUCUGACCCCGUUGGUUCGACACGUUUUAAUACGACAUUUUUUAAUUCGUACCCCGCUUAUUCGACAAGUGUCGAAUUAAAAAGUGUUCAAAUGUCACAGCGAUGUACACUGUAAAUGCAAAACAGUUUGAUAUUGCGCUUAUACUCGCACCGCAGCAGCUCCUCUUGCGGCCGCUAAUUCCGAAAGUUCUGAAUUGGUGCUAUUCAACACCGAAACCGCCUGGAGACCUACCGAAAUGAACUGAGGAUGGCAACAAUCGUAGAAAGAAUGAGCUUUUCACUCGCACCACUGCAAUAUCUGAUGAAAUUAUGUUUCACAACAAAUCCGGAAAUCAAAACAAAAACAAAAAUAGAGUUCCCAAAUUUCAAUGAGCAUGGUGGUGUAGGGUGACCAGUUUGUCGAAUUAAAAGUUUACCCCGGUUAUUUGACAACAGUCGGUGUCGUAUUAACGGGGUAAUACGGUAGUACAAUUGAGGAUGCCAUUUAACUCCUUCGGGACGACUUUUUUCACCAACCUCGCCGUUGUAGAACGCGUCAGCGAGGUGCAAAUGACCCAACCGUCCUGAAAAGGUUAAACUUGGGGACAUUUUUAUUGAAUUGACCACAAAUAACCAUCAUAACAGUCUGGUGUUAUUGUUUGAUCGCACCGUAUAUCUGUAACUUUGGAAGUAGUGAACAGAACUCAAUCAAUUCAAUACAAUUCAAAUUUCCCGUGAAUUCAUGUCGGUUGCCAAAAUUUCAGCCAAAUCGGCUCACCAAAAACCUAGUACCAUAUCGUCAAACUUGGGCAUUUUGUAUGACAUAAAACCGGUGGUCUUAUUGUUUAGUCCGAACAAAAAAAAAACACAAAGCAAGCGAAACUUUGGGACUGGUUUCUGUUUUCUCGAAUUUCUUUGGGCGGAUUUUGGAGCGGACGAAUGUGCUUGAGAAGGCGCUGUGUGCUAGUGAAGAAUUUAGAGCAAGUUUUUAUUUUGGUUUGCAAUAUUUUUUUUACAAUUUACAUCAGUUCUUCAAAAUAUUUCUGUGAAGAAGUUGUGCAACAAUUCCUCCAAUAUUUCUAUUACGGGUAUGUUAUGUAUCUAAAUUCAAC